GACGUAGGGCGCGAGCGUUGUCCGGAUUUAUUGGGCGUAAAGAGCUCGUAGGCGGCUUGUCGCGUCGACUGUGAAAUCCCGCGGCUCAACCGCGGGUCUGCAGUCGAUACGGGCAGGCUAGAGUUCGGUAGGGGAGACUGGAAUUCCUGGUGUAGCGGUGAAAUGCGCAGAUAUCAGGAGGAACACCGAUGGCGAAGGCAGGUCUCUGGGCCGAUACUGACGCUGAGGAGCGAAAGCGUGGGGGAGCGAACAGG
This 254-nucleotide ribosomal RNA is filed under the name uncultured bacterium. RNAcentral describes it as "partial 16S ribosomal RNA". It matches the Rfam family "Bacterial small subunit ribosomal RNA", at positions 524 to 776 of the family's 1533-position model. The record is from RNAcentral.